Molecule: ribosomal RNA, 1060 nt
Filed under: uncultured Bacteroidales bacterium
Lineage: Bacteria; Pseudomonadati; Bacteroidota; Bacteroidia; Bacteroidales
Description: bacterial SSU rRNA
Rfam family: Bacterial small subunit ribosomal RNA
Source: RNAcentral
AACGCUAGCUACAGGCUUAACACAUGCAAGUCGAGGGGCAGCAGGAGCAAAGCUUGCUUUGUUUGCUGGCGACCGGCGCACGGGUGCGUAACGCGUAUCGAACCUGCCCUAUACUCGGGGAUAGCCUUGCGAAAGUAAGAUUAAUACCCGAUGUUGUUAUUACAUCGCAUGAUGUUUUAACCAAAGAUUUAUCGGUAUAGGAUGGCGAUGCGUGACAUUAGGUAGUAGGUGAGGUAACGGCUCACCUAGCCUACGAUGUCUAGGGGUUCUGAGAGGAAGGUCCCCCACACUGGAACUGAGACACGGUCCAGACUCCUACGGGAGGCAGCAGUGAGGAAUAUUGGUCAAUGGACGCAAGUCUGAACCAGCCAAGUAGCGUGAAGGAUGACUGCCCUAUGGGUUGUAAACUUCUUUUGCCGUAGAACAAAACAUGCCACGUGUGGCAUUUUGCGUGUAUACGUUGAAUAAGCAUCGGCUAACUCCGUGCCAGCAGCCGCGGUAAUACGGAGGAUGCGAGCGUUAUCCGGAUUUAUUGGGUUUAAAGGGAGCGUAGACGGGAUGUUAAGUCAGUUGUGAAAGGCUGCGGCUCAACCGCAGCACUGCAGUUGAUACUGGCGUCCUUGAGUGCGGUUGAGGUGUAUGGAAUUCGUGGUGUAGCGGUGAAAUGCUUAGAUAUCACGAAGAACUCCGAUUGCGAAGGCAGUACACUAAGCCGCUACUGACGUUGAGGCUCGAAAGUGUGGGUAUCAAACAGGAUUAGAUACCCUGGUAGUCCACACGGUAAACGAUGAAUACUCGCUGUUGGCGAUAUACGGUCAGCGGCCAAGCGAAAGCAUUAAGUAUUCCACCUGGGGAGUACGCCGGCAACGGUGAAACUCAAAGGAAUUGACGGGGGCCCGCACAAGCGGAGGAACAUGUGGUUUAAUUCGAUGAUACGCGAGGAACCUUACCCGGGCUUAAAUUGCACUGGACAGGCCAAGAGAUUGGCCCUUCUUCGGACCAGUGUGAAGGUGCUGCAUGGUUGUCGUCAGCUCGUGCCGUGAGGUGUCGGCUUAAGUGC